This 491-nucleotide ribosomal RNA is filed under the name uncultured bacterium. RNAcentral describes it as "partial 16S ribosomal RNA". It matches the Rfam family "Bacterial small subunit ribosomal RNA", at positions 29 to 507 of the family's 1533-position model. The record is from RNAcentral.
GUGAACGCUGGCGGUAGGCCUAACACAUGCAAGUCGAACGGCAGCACAGUAAGAGCUUGCUCUUACGGGUGGCGAGUGGCGGACGGGUGAGGAAUACAUCGGAAUCUACUUUUUCGUGGGGGAUCACGUAGGGAAACUUACGCUAAUACCGCAUACGACCUACGGGUGAAAGCAGGGGAUCUUCGGACCUUGCGCGAUUGAAUGAGCCGAUGUCGGAUUAGCUAGUUGGCGGGGUAAAGGCCCACCAAGGCGACGAUCCGUAGCUGGUCUGAGAGGAUGAUCAGCCACACUGGAACUGAGACACGGUCCAGACUCCUACGGGAGGCAGCAGUGGGGAAUAUUGGACAAUGGGCGCAAGCCUGAUCCAGCCAUACCGCGUGGGUGAAGAAGGCCUUCGGGUUGUAAAGCCCUUUUGUUGGGAAAGAAAAGCAGCAGGUUAAUACCCCGCUGUUCUGACGGUACCCAAAGAAUAAGCACCGGCUAACUUCGUG